This 429-nucleotide ribosomal RNA is filed under the name Fusobacteriota bacterium. RNAcentral describes it as "Fusobacteria bacterium partial 16S ribosomal RNA". It matches the Rfam family "Bacterial small subunit ribosomal RNA", at positions 355 to 776 of the family's 1533-position model. Lineage: Bacteria; Fusobacteriati; Fusobacteriota. The record is from RNAcentral.
UGGGGAAUAUUGCGCAAUGGGCGAAAGCCUGACGCAGCGACGCCGCGUGAGGGAUGAAGGUUUUCGGAUCGUAAACCUCUGUCAGAAGGGAAGAAACCGCACUGUGCUAAUCAGCAGUGCCUUGACGGUACCUUCAAAGGAAGCACCGGCUAACUCCGUGCCAGCAGCCGCGGUAAUACGGAGGGUGCAAGCGUUAAUCGGAAUUACUGGGCGUAAAGCGCACGUAGGCUGCUUUGUAAGUCAGGGGUGAAAUCCCACGGCUCAACCGUGGAACUGCCUUUGAGACUGCUUAGCUUGAAUCCGGGAGAGGGUGGCGGAAUUCCAGGUGUAGGAGUGAAAUCCGUAGAUAUCUGGAGGAACAUCAGUGGCGAAGGCGGCAACCUGGACCGGUAUUGACGCUGAGGUGCGAAAGCGUGGGGAGCAAACAGG